RNAcentral lists this ribosomal RNA (468 nucleotides) under uncultured bacterium. RNAcentral describes it as "partial 16S ribosomal RNA". It matches the Rfam family "Bacterial small subunit ribosomal RNA", at positions 28 to 507 of the family's 1533-position model. The record is from RNAcentral.
GACGAACGCUGGCGGCGUGCUUAACACAUGCAAGUCGAACGGAAAGACCCUGCGUUCGUGGGGUGCUCGAGUGGCGAACGGGUGAGUAACACGUGAGUAACCUGCCCCUGACUUUGGGAUAACUUCAGGAAACUGGGGCUAAUACCGGAUAGGAGAUCCUGCUGCAUGGUGGGCGUUGGAAAGUUUCUGCGGUUGGGGAUGGACUCGCGGCUUAUCAGCUUGUUGGUGGGGUAGUGGCUUACCAAGGCUUUGACGGGUAGCCGGCCUGAGAGGGUGACCGGCGUCAUUGGGCCUGAGAUACGGCGCAGACUCGUACGGGAGGCAGCAGUGGGGAAUAUUGCACAAUGGGAGGACGCCUGAUGCAGAGGCGCCGCGUUCGUAAAGCCCGCCUUUGGGUAGUGAACAGCUUUCGCCUGUGACGAAGCGUGAGUGACGGUAAUGGGUAAAGAAGCACCGGCUAACUACGUG